CAUUGUGCAGAAUAUUAGACCCCUAGUUGAAGGUGCAGAAUUAGAUUCUCCAUUCUGGAAGUUGGAAACAAGGGGACAUUUUUUAGUGAAAUCUGCAUGGGAGUACCUGCGAAGAAGAGACAUUCCUAGGAUAGCUUACAAGAUGAUAUGGGUCAAAGGCUUACCAUUCAAGAUAUCCUUCUUGCUAUGGAAGGUGUGGAAAGCCAAACUGCCACUUGAUGAUUUCUUGCGUAGAAUAGGAUACUCCAUGGCAUCUAAAUAUUGGUGCUGUGAAGAACCUAAGGAGGAGUCCUUAGUACAUUUGUUUUUCACAUCCAAUGCAGCUAGAAGUGUUUGGAGUUACUUCCUGAGGAGGGCAGGAAUUGCACUAGAUGGAUAUUCUUUACAACAAGCAAUUACAAAGUGCUGGACGUCAUCAGUUGUUCAUAGAUUGAAGCCAGUCUUGCAAGCCUUACUUGCAUGUAUUGUAUGGGAAUUAUGGAAGAGAAGAAACAGCUUUAAGUAUGGAGAAGCAGUGUCAGUAACAAGAGUUAUUUAUGAUGUGUCAUCUACGCUACAAGCUCUAGUCCAACUGAGAAAACCAGGACUACAAGUGCCUCACAAGUGGCUGGACCUGCUGACAAUGAUGGAGAAAUACACACCUCGAUUGAAAUAUGAUAAAGUGCUAUGGGAAUUUCCUCCAACAGGCAGGAUCAAAGUGAAUACUGAUGGAGCAUGAAGAAGGAACCCAGGGAGGAGUUCAAUUGGUUUUUGUUUAAGAGACGAGAUAGGUGAUUUGAUAUAUGCAGGAGGAAGAGAAAUUAAGGAGGGUUCAAACAAUGAAGCUGAGGCGACAACAAUAGUAGAGGCAAUGAAAAUGUGAAAAUCAAUGAAUCUCCAUAAUGUUUGGCUUCAGACAAAUUCAAUGAUACUUCAAAAGAUCAUAGAUGGAUAGUGGAAACCACCUUAGAAUAUUGUGGAUGCCGUGGAGGAAAUCAACAGACUCAAAAUGGGGCAUAAUUUCAAGAUAUCUCACUUUUUCAGACAGGGAAACAAACUAGCAGACCACCUUGCAAAUUAUGCACUUGACAGUGGCAACAUAGAGAGUUAUGAUAUCCGGGAACUUGAUUCGACGAGCAGAAGGUUGGUUAAUGAGGAUAAGCUUCAAUGUCCAAGUCUGAGAAUAAUCGUUGCAAGAAAUUAGCGAAGGAUGCGGAUGAAACAAAAGCAAUCAACAAUACUACAACAUGCCGUCUCCAAGUUCGACCACAUUAGAAUAUGGAGAUAACUUUUUUCAUUAACAUUUGCUUCCUUUUUGGGAACUUGAUGUGUCGAGCAGAAGGUUGGUUAAUGAGGAUAAGGUUCAAUGUCAAAACCUGAGAAUAACAGUUGCAAGAAAUUAGAGAAGGAAAGGGAAGAAGCAAAAGCAAUCAUAAUUAAUACAACAUGCAGUAACCAUGAUCGACCAGAUUUGAACAUGUAGAUAACAUUUUAUACUAACAUUUGUUUCCUUUUUGCAGGUUCUAAAUUUAUACAGCUAUUCUUUGCUGUCAAGAUAUCUCCAGUGAUUGUAGUAACGCAAUGCAUUUAUACCAAUGGAAGUAACUUGCAGAGGGACAAUGGUACAAAUCAUGUAAGCGUCAAACAAGAUAACAAGGUUACGUCAUCAAGAUUCCUCAACAUAAAAGAAGACAUCUGCACCAAAAAUACUGCACACACACAUGCACAUUACUGGAAUGCAAAUUUCUUAAUGAAGAAAAGGAAUGGUUUUAGUUCUCGGCUGCAAUGAGUUUUCACAGCC
RNAcentral lists this long non-coding RNA (1780 nucleotides) under Nicotiana benthamiana. RNAcentral describes it as "long non-coding RNA (NBEN_LNC010338)". The record is from RNAcentral. Lineage: Eukaryota; Viridiplantae; Streptophyta; Magnoliopsida; Solanales; Solanaceae.